UCUCACAAUCCAAAGAUGUGUGAAUUACAGAUGAUAAGUUGUCUAAAGGUGUGAAAGUGUGUUUUACUGCCAAUGGAUGGAUCCGUGGCUGAGGUUUUAUUUUUUUUUAACCUUGUUCGGAGGUUUCAUGAACGUCUAUAUCGGAUGUUCAGAAGACGUCAAAAAAAGACGUCAUAAAAACUUUCAUUCUGGCUCCUCAGUGGACGUCUUUUCAACGUGAGCCAUGACGUCAAAAAGACGGCUUCUGGACAUAACUUUGCUCAGUGAAGCGAAUCGCAAUGCUGAAAAGACAUGUUCAGUAACAACUUUUCGUUACACACACAUAGUUGGCUAACAAUGCCUUUGGGAAACACCCCAGAAUGUUUUUUGGUGGUUGGUACUGGUCUAGCUGGUGGAUCAGCAAAGCCAUGCUAUUCACCAGUUAAAAGGUAAAGUGUUUUUCAAGUAAUGAUCUUAAUCUAAAACAUAAAUAAACAGUUUGUACUUAAAAAGAUGGUUGAUGCAAGGAAAUUUUAGUAAGCUUUUUUAUUAUAAAAAUUGUUUGCAUUUAUUUAAAAUAUUUUUUGUAACAUUAUAAAUGUCUUUACUGUCACUUUUGAUCAUCCUUGCUGAAUAAAAGUAUUAAUUUCUUCAAUUUAAAAAAAAAAAAAAAAAUUCUUACUGACCCCAAACUUUUGAACAGUACACAGCAAAAUCCCCAGUGUUAAAUUAACACCCAAAGUGUACAUAUGAGUCCAUCUUGCCGGGUGUUAAAAAGUAACACUGAAGCAGUGUUAAAGUUAAUGAGAUAAUUGAUUGAUGAUUGAGUGAUGAUUGACAAUCAGUAGUGACACCUGAUGUUAAUAAGCAGAAUCACUGAAGAAACAACAAGAGAAAAAGAGAGAGACUUCCAGCCAUUAAACAUUAUUGCACUUAUUAUUAACCAGUUUGAUUUUAUUUCUGUAAUACAUCAACAAAAGUUCUUAUUCAGAAUUAACAGAUGUUUAGAUGUUAAUGUUUUAAUGAAAGUUUAGUUUAAAGUCACCAUGAUGGUGAAAAGCAUUUCCUUUAGUUUUUAGAUUUAGGUUAACAAUGCUUUGGGAAGCACAGCCAUGAUGAUUGUGUUUUGAUGAUAUUUUCAUUGUGAAAUGGCCUGAUUUGUUGGUGACAUCCAGUAUUGCCCUAGUGAUUGGUCAUAUAGAUGUGAUAUUUCUUUACACUAAAUCUGUUACCGCUUGAGUUUUUUUGAAACACACACAGACAUCAAGAAUCAGCAUAUGACCCUCAACAAUGGUGACAAUCAAAGUGCUUCAUGUUGCAGUGCAUGAUGGGAGCCACCAAUCAAAACUCAUCCAUGGCUCCCAUCAUGCAUUGCUGCAUGAAUAAAUUAUGCAGCUGAAUUGUCCUGUAAUUUUCAUGUUUGCUUUUAUUUUUCUGUUGUUUUGUUGUGACAGUAGCUUGUUUUGUGAUGUUCAGAGUUGAUCUGUUUGUCAGUAUUUUGUAUUUAGUUAUUGUCACCGUUCUUGAGAAUCAUAUGCUGAUUCUUGAUGUCUGUGUGUGUCUAAACACAGAAGCUUUGUGCAUAAUGUAUUUUUCUUAAAAAAAAAAAAAAAAAAAUUGUUCAAACUGCUGUUGGAUCUCAAGCUGUAAACUCACAGGACUACAAUCAUUAAUACUAAAGCAACACAUCAAGCAUACGGUCAGAGAUUUAGACUCUAAAUGACAUCAGGCCAUUGCAUAAUGAUAAUAUCAUCACCAAAACAUAUUGUGACCGGACCAUAUUUUCUCUGGUCAUAACAAAUGUGCUUUACAAACACAAAGUUGGAGCAGCCAGAGAAAAACUAAUAAUAAAAGGUAAAGAGUCAAGAGCCCAACUAAAGCAAACGCUGGCCUCUUUCAUGGUGACUUGAAAUGAAACAAUCCAUAAAACAUUAAUUAACACCUUUUUUCUCUCUUUCCUUCAAUGAUUCUGCUUAUUAACAUCAGGUGUCACCACUAAUUGUCAAUCAUCACUCAAUCAUCAAUCAAUUAUCUCAUUAACUUUAACACUGCUUCAGUGUUACUUUUUAACACCCGGCAAGAUGGACUCAUAUGUACACUUUGGGUGUUAAUUUAACACUGGGGAUUUUGCUGUGUAGUAUAAUGUUACAAAAGCUUUAUAUUUCAGAUAAAUGCUGUUCUUUUGAACUUUCUAUUCAACAAAGAAUCCUGAGAAGGAUCCUGAGAAUCUGAAGGAUCAUGUGACACUGAAGACUGGAGUAAUGAUGCUGAAAAUUCAGCUUUGAUCACAGGAAUAAAUUAUAUUUUAAAAUAUAUUCAAAUAGAAAAAAGUUAAUUUAAAUUGUAAUAAAGUUGUUUUUUAAUCAAAUAAAUGCAGCCUUGGUGACCAUAACAGACUUCUCUUAAAAACAUAUAUAUAUAUAUAUAUUAGUUCUAGUAUAUACUAUAUAUCUAGGCCUACUUGUUUCAUUGAAUUGAUUUUCUGUCAUUUUCUAAUGAAGACCAUCCCAUUUUGAUAAACUAUAAAACGAAAACUAGCAUGUUGAUUCAUUAACCUGCCGAUCUGAAAAUCUCAUCAGGUACAAAGUCAAAUACUUACUGAGUACAAAUACAGAUCAUUAAAUGUUAUCUCUUACUCUCUCUUAUACUCUCUCAGUAUGAGUGCACAAGUCUGAUGGAUUCUUGUGCAGAAAAAAACAGGUUCUGUGCCCCAUUAGAGACGUCAAGUGCAUGAGUUCAACAGUGGUGACACAAGCUGGUGAAGAGGGGAAGCUGAUAAAUAUGUAAGAGCAGCUCAAUUAGUCAAAAACAGUGUAAAGCUUUGAACAGCAUGAAAAGGAGAAGCUUAUGAAUUAGUUAAGUGCUUUCAAAGAGUUUUUACUGUUUUAAAAAAAUUGUGAUGAAUUUGAUCAACAAUAAACAUGCCAUUUUUUGAAUAACUACUAUCAUUAAUAGUAGUAUUAAAACUAAUUUCUUUAUCAUCUUGAUUAGAUGGAGUGUAUAAGGGAAGCUUCCUUCUGCUCUUCUCUCCUCUGCUCUUCUACUUCCUGUAGAAGUCCAGAUUCAAGACUUCAGAUUCUACAGCAAAGAUCACCACAAAAACUGUCUGAAUAUGAGACACAAUUGAUUUAAUUUACUGAAUAAAGCUUGUUUGUUGCUCUGCUGUU
Molecule: long non-coding RNA, 3146 nt
Organism: Ctenopharyngodon idella (grass carp)
Lineage: Eukaryota; Metazoa; Chordata; Actinopteri; Cypriniformes; Xenocyprididae
Exons: 2
Source: RefSeq, a predicted model, not a curated record